This 253-nucleotide ribosomal RNA is filed under the name uncultured bacterium. Its description in RNAcentral is "partial 16S ribosomal RNA". It matches the Rfam family "Bacterial small subunit ribosomal RNA", at positions 524 to 776 of the family's 1533-position model. The record is from RNAcentral.
GACGAACCGAGCGAACGUUGUUCGGAAUCCCUGGGCUUAAAGGGCGCGUAGGCGGGCCCGCCAGUCUGUGGUGAAAUCCUCCGGCUCAACCGGAGAACUGCCUCGGAUACUGCGGGUCUCGAGGGUGAUAGGGGUAUGCGGAACUAUCGGUGGAGCGGUGAAAUGCGUUGAUAUCGAUAGGAACUCCGGUGGCGAAGGCGGCAUACUGGAUCACUUCUGACGCUGAGGCGCGAAAGCCAGGGGAGCAAACGGG